GCUUUGCUGUAAAAACUAUGAAAUAGCAAUCAUGUCCUUCUAUGAGAUUUUAGUAUCCUCCUCUCCUUCCCAAAUGACGUUGUUUUUCUAGACCAUCAUUGACAUUUGAGAAAGAGAGAGAGAGAGUAAGGAGGAGUGAGAUCCUUUAGUAUUGACGCUUGUAGGUGAAUUAGAGCAGUGAAGCAAUAUCUCCUGAUUUCCGGUAAUUCUGAUCUUCGAUUGGUGAGUUUUGGUGCUCCCGACUUCUUUAUUCUUUUGAAUCCAAUAUUUAGACAUUUAUGAGAGUUGAAUUAAUUUUUUUAAGUCUAUUUAUACAAUGAGACUGAUUGAUUUCUUUAGUUUGUUGAUCAUAGAUCCUCAGUGCUUUGCCAUCCUCUUCUCCCAACUUCUUCUUAUGAGAUAGAAAAAAGGAUGAGUGGGAUGAAAGGGAGUGAAAGAUCCCGCUUCUAAUUAUCUUGAGUGAGAUUUUGAAUGAUCAAGGACAUGUACUCUUUGGUGGAUUUGAUACAUUUAGAUUCAAUUUGGACUUUGCCUUCUUCUUCGAUUACGGCAACUUCUUCAGUUGAGCUCUCAGCCUCAA
Molecule: long non-coding RNA, 580 nt
Filed under: Manihot esculenta (cassava)
Lineage: Eukaryota; Viridiplantae; Streptophyta; Magnoliopsida; Malpighiales; Euphorbiaceae
Description: long non-coding RNA (MESC_LNC012910)
Source: RNAcentral